UACAGAGGGUGCGAGCGUUAAUCGGAAUUACUGGGCGUAAAGCGUGCGUAGACGGUUAUUUAAGUCGGGUGUGAAAGCCCCGGGCUCAACCUGGGAAUUGCAUUCGAGACUGAAUAGCUAGGGAACGGUAGAGGGAAGUGGAAUUUCCGGUGUAGCGGUGAAAUGCGUAGAUAUCGGAAGGAACAUCAGUGGCGAAAGCGACUUCCUGGACCAGUACCGACGUUCAGGCACGAAAGCGUGGGGAGCAAACAGG
Molecule: ribosomal RNA, 253 nt
Filed under: uncultured bacterium
Lineage: Bacteria
Description: partial 16S ribosomal RNA
Rfam family: Bacterial small subunit ribosomal RNA
Source: RNAcentral